AAAGCAUCUAAGCACGAAACUUGCCCCGAGAUGAGUUCUCCCUGACUCCUUGAGGGUCCUGAAGGAACGUUGAAGACGACGACGUUGAUAGGCCGGGUGUGUAAGCGCAGCGAUGCGUUGAGCUAACUGGUACUAAUGAACCGUGAGGCUUAACCUUACAACGCCGAAG
RNAcentral lists this ribosomal RNA (169 nucleotides) under Escherichia coli. RNAcentral's name for it is "partial 23S ribosomal RNA". It matches the Rfam family "Bacterial large subunit ribosomal RNA", at positions 2774 to 2925 of the family's 2925-position model. The record is from RNAcentral. Lineage: Bacteria; Pseudomonadati; Pseudomonadota; Gammaproteobacteria; Enterobacterales; Enterobacteriaceae.